GAGAAGGAAGCGAGACUCGCCGGAUGCGGUCGGGGAGAUGGUCUCGGCGCUGAGGACGCUGGGUGAUGGGUUCUUGAGGAUGGAACAGAUGAAGGUGGAGAUGGCGAGGGAGAUGGAGAAGGUGAGGAUGGAGAUGGAGUUGAAGCGCACCGAGAUGAUCCNNNNNNNNNNNNNNNNNNNNUGGAGAUGGAGUUGAAGCGCACCGAGAUGAUCCUCGAUUCCCAGCGCCGGAUCGUGGAUGCCUUCGUCAAGGGCUUCUUCCGGGGGAAGAAGAGGUCCAAGGUCUCUCCGGAGGCUUGAAGUGUUGCCUUUCUUUUGUUUCCGACUUCUCUUUUUAUUAAGGCUUUGUAUGAAAGUAGAUAUAGAAUUCAGUGUGGAAGCUGGAUGCAUGGUAGCAGGGGGACGGGGUGCUUUGUUUCUGUUUAUUGUUUUUACUAUGGAAUCAUAUAUGAAGCCCUGACUUGAAUUAUUUCGACUUCUUUUUCGUUCUUCUUAUGUAGAGCUAAUAAGUGUCGGUUUCUCUUGCUCUGAGUUGGCCUUGUGGUGGAAUUGCUUUUCUCCUGCUUUGGAAACUUCCAUGUCAAGGCUCUUACUUUUUGCUUUGUAAAUUCUGUGUGGUUACUGACAAGAUCAAACUUCUUGUAAUCUUGACUGUCCGUUGCUGAUGCUACUAUUUGAUGUCAUCAUGUUAUUAAUUGAAGCAGGAUCUUCUUGCUGUAUAUUAUAUCAGGGCAGUGGAAAAUGUUUUUCUUCUUUCAUUGUUUAAUUUUCUUAAUUUGUUGAAAGAAAUCACCUCCUGUAUGACUAGAAAAAAUUAGUAUUUGUUGAACUUUUUACCAUGCAGAUUUAUCAAAUUUUCAUUUCUUAUUCUUGGUUUCUAUAUUUUUGGUAAAUGAAGUAAUUAUAUUAUUAAUUUUUAUUUUCUUUGCUUUUAUCAGUGUUUUUCUUGCCAGGGAAAGAUGUGAA
This 966-nucleotide long non-coding RNA is filed under the name Phoenix dactylifera (date palm). RNAcentral's name for it is "long non-coding RNA (PDAC_LNC001206)". Lineage: Eukaryota; Viridiplantae; Streptophyta; Magnoliopsida; Arecales; Arecaceae. The record is from RNAcentral.